This 448-nucleotide ribosomal RNA is filed under the name uncultured bacterium. Its description in RNAcentral is "bacterial SSU rRNA". It matches the Rfam family "Bacterial small subunit ribosomal RNA", at positions 28 to 479 of the family's 1533-position model. The record is from RNAcentral.
GAUGAACGCUAGCGGCAGGCUUAACACAUGCAAGUCGAGGGGUAUAGUUCUUCGGAGCUAGAGACCGGCGCACGGGUGCGUAACGCGUAUGCAAUCUACCUUUUACAGAGGGAUAGCCCAGAGAAAUUUGGAUUAAUACCUCAUAGUAUGUGAGAAUCGCAUGGUUUUCACAUUAAAGUUCCAACGGUAAAGAUGAGCAUGCGUCCCAUUAGCUAGAUGGUAAGGUAACGGCUUACCAUGGCGACGAUGGGUAGGGGUCCUGAGAGGGAGAUCCCCCACACUGGUACUGAGACACGGACCAGACUCCUACGGGAGGCAGCAGUGAGGAAUAUUGGACAAUGGGCGCAAGCCUGAUCCAGCCAUGCCGCGUGCAGGAUGACGGUCCUAUGGAUUGAAACUGCUUUUGACAGGAAGAAACACUCCCUCGUGAAGGGNGCUUGACGGUACU